This is a long non-coding RNA of Anolis carolinensis (green anole), 4232 nucleotides long. RefSeq lists it as uncharacterized. NCBI's taxonomy places the organism in Eukaryota, Metazoa, Chordata, Lepidosauria, Squamata, Anolidae. The transcript has 3 exons. The record is from RefSeq and is a predicted model, not a curated record.
UGUAUAUUUUAAGUUAUAUUGUGAUGUGUUCAACUGUGAGCUUCUUUGAGUCUCCAUGUGGAGAGAUAAAGUGGGAUAUAAAUAAAUAAAUAAAUAAACGCUAUGCGGCAAUGUUAUAUCAAGUUUAUUAUUAUUAUUAUUAUUAAAUCUAAAAUUAUAUCAAAUUGAGCAGGGAGAGUGUGCGUGGCCUUGCGAGGCGGCUGCUGUAUUUCAGUAAAUGCCUUCCAUUGAUUCAUGCGAAAAGGAAAAAUUUAAAAAGCACAAUCACUUGGCUGUCUUCUCUCUCUGAAAUUAAAAAGCAAAAGCAACAAAAGCAUUAUGUUGCUUUUAUUCAAUAUUCCAGGCGGCAAUCCUAUUAAAAACUUUUCUAAGAUUUAGGCUUCAUUAUAUAUGAUCAGUGUAGGCUAGGUAUGGGCAAACUUUUUGUAGGCUGUUAGAAAUUGUAGAAGCUGAAGUCCAAAACACCCGGAGGACUGAAGUUUGCCCAUGGCUGGUGUAGACUCAGAUAAUGCGAUUUAACUUUGCUGGACUUUAUUAUAUAAGUCUACACUGACCACACAAAGCAGUUUGUAUGUUUCCCCCCCUUUUGAGUAGUUUAUCAAUAUUAUUGUGUCAUUAUUGUUUAUCAUUAUUGUCUUACUAGAGCUGUUAAACACAGGAGGAAUAUUAGAAAAUUAAUCAGAACAUACUGUAUUUCACAACAGGGCCACCUUGUGGUAAUGAGAUUUAUUUCAGUUAUUACACUAUGUAACAAAGCUUGAAAAAAAAUUUUUGUUCCUGGUUUGAAAAUAUUAUUUCUUGUUUAAUUGUGUGGUAUUUACUUUGAAAGUACAGUAGAGUCUCACUUAUCCAACACUCACUUAUCCAACGUUCUGGAUUAUCCAACACAUUUUUGGAGUCAAUGUUUUCAAUAUAUUGUGAUGUUUUGGUGCUAAAUUCAUAAAUACAGUAAUUACUACAUAGCAUUACUGUGUAUUGAACUACUUUUUCUGCCAAAUUUGUUGUCUAACAUGAUGUUUUGGUGCUUCAUUUGUAAAAUCAUAACCUAAUUUGAUGUUUAAUAUGCUUUUCCUUAAUGCCUCCUUAUUAUCCAACAUAUUCGCUUAUCCAACAUUCUGCCGGCCCGUUUAUGUUGGAUAAGUGAGACUCUACUGUAGUUGGUAUAUGUGAGAAACGUCGUUUUUGUGGCCGCCACAAACUAUGUUGAAUUGGUUGAAACUCUUGGAGAUAUUCAUUGAAAGACUAUAGCAAAAUGUGCUGCAGGAUGGCUUGCGAAAACAAAGUUUUUACAGUUUAAUAAAUCUUUUCCAUGUUUUUAUGAGGGAACCAAUUAGGAAAUGACAGGAACAAAAAUCAUGUUACAUAGUGUUAUGACAAGCUUUCUGACUAUUUUAAUCACAUUUCUGGACUGCAACAUUUUUCUGAGGGUAUAAAUGAUGGUGAUGACGAUUGGAAAAUAAUACAACUCCUAGAAUUCCCAAACACCUGUCAGAACAAUACAUUCUAGAUGCCAUUUUCCAAACAAGUAAUAUUUGCAUGCUCUGGCUUCCAUUGACUUCCUAAUAUCUAAAUUCCUCAUUUCCUUCAUUCAUAUACGGGUUCGGAGGAAGAUGAUUAGAAAAUGAAAGUAAAAUGUGUUCAUAAAUCCAUGUGUUUCAAUAGAUGCAUUACAGAACAAUAAUUUGAGUAUUGUGAUUUCUUCUAGUCAUCCCAUCUUAACUUUGAUAUUGUUGUGUAACUGGAAACGAAAAACCAAAGAUGUUAUCCUUUAAAUGUGUUUUUAAUAAAUGAUCCAAUUAAUGUUGUCCAAGGCUUUCAUGGCUGUGUGGCCAUGUUCCAGAAGUAUUCUCUCCUGACGUUUCACCACAUCUAUGGCAGGUAUCCUCAGAGGUUGUGAGGUAUGGAACCAAUUAAUCCAAUUAAUAUUUUAUUUUGGUUUAAUUAAUCCAAUUGAACCAAAAUAUAGCUAGAAAAAUAUAUAGUACAAAGGUUUUUUUUAUAAAAAAAGAACAAACAAUCAAAUUAAUGUUUUAAUUGGAUCAUUUGUUCAUUUUUUUCUAGCUAUAUUUUAGUUUGACUUAUACUGUAAAUUACUUUGGAUCCCAUAUUGGAGAAAGGUGGGAUUUAAUUAAAGAAAGAUAUAGAUGAUGUGACAAUGAGCUCUGAGGCUGGAGCUACAGUGCCAUAUAAUACAGUUUGGAACUGCAUUAUAUGGUCAGUGUAGACCCAUGUAAUCAGUUCAGCACAGUUGGUAGUGUAGAUCCAGCCUAAGACAAUUCUUGUAUUUAGUAAACUGGAUGUUGAAUGGUUGCAUAUCUUUUCCUAACUCUGCAGUUUUUAAAGUUAACGCCCAAACAUGCCAUUUGUGUUUGCAGCCUAUGCAUGUGGCCAGAUUUCAUCAUUGUGGAGCCAUGAAAAACCAAAAAGCCAAUUUAUCUUCAAUGGUUCAUGCCAAAUAAGAGCCUUCCCAGUGUGACAGCUUCUAGACUGCAACCCCAUUAUAACAUCCUUCAAGGCCUGUUUAUAUGAGAAUGAUGGGCUCAUGAGACGGUUUCAGAAAGAAAAGGAGACAGCCUCGGGAGGGAUAGGAGAGAAGACAGGGAAAGAGGCAGCAGAACUGAACAGGAGCAACUUGAGAAACUGCAAGUCGCUUCUGGUGUGAGAGAAUUGGCUGUUUGCAAGGACAUUAUCCAGGGGGUGCCUGGAUGUUUUGAUGUUUUUACCAAUCUUCUGGGAGGCUUCUCUCAUGUCCCCACAUGGAGUUGGAGCUGAUAGACGGGGCUCAUCCGUGCUCUCCCUGGGUUGGAUUCGAACCGACAACCUUCAGGUGAGCAAUCCAACCUUCAAGUCACCAGUCCGGCCGGCACAAGGGUUUAACCCACUGCACCAGCGGGGGCUCCAGUCCAACAAGUGAUAUCCAAUGAAGAAGGCUAAGAAAAGGUGUGGGGUGGAGGAGUACAAGAAGAUGAUGAACCAGUUAUGCUAUUGGAGUGAUCCUUUUGAUGAAAGUAUUGGUGCAUAUCCAUCCAUCCAUCCAUCCAUCCAUCUAUAUCCUAGUUCUAGCAGUUGACAAAAGGCCAUACCUCAUCCCAACUGCCACUCCUGUGGACUCACAGAGAGAGAAGAUUAGGGAAUAUCUGCCAAAAUUAAACCACUCCUACACUGUUAUUCUGAUAAGCCACUCUGGGAAUCUUGGUCAGAGGGCAGGAUAUAAAUACUCUAAAUGAAUAUAUAUAUAUUCAUUUAUAAUAUGGUAGAAUUACGGACAAUUUUAAAUACAUAAAAUUGGAGAAAUGCUUGGUGGUGUCACUAUGUUAUAUUCAGCUUUCCUAAACAAAUCUGUGUCUGUGUGUCGCCAGUCACAAUGUAUUAAUUCAGUAACGUCAAUCAAUUACAUUAAUGAGUAAAUUUAGUAAGAGCUAAAGUAGAGUAGUAGCUUGAAUGUUGGAUUAAGGGUGCAACUAUCCUGUAGAGUUAAUGCAGCUUGACAUCACUUUAACAGUCAUUGUUGAAUGCUGUGGAAUCUCUGCCAAAGUGUUAGUGCCUAACCAAACUACAAGUUUUAGGAUUCUAUAGCAUUGAGCCAUGGCAGUUAAAAUGGUAUCAAACUGCCUCAAUUCUACAGUGCAGAUGCACCCAAGACUUCGGGAAGCCAGAAUUCAAACCCAUGAUCAGCCAUGGAAACCCACUGGGAGACCAGUCUGUCAGCCUAAGAAGAAGGCAACAGCAAAAUUCCUCAGAAUAAAUCUUGCCCAAUCACCAAAAGUCAGGAUUAGCUUCAAGACACAUAAAAACAAAUAAGAACUCCUGGAGAUAAGGAGACAAGGAGGCAAGGGAUAUAUUUGGAGUGCCUGUAAGUAGAAAAGCAACCAUAGAGCCCAAGUGAAUAAAAAGUGCACUAACUAUAUAUUGCAUGUAUUGUGAUAUUCCUGGAUAAUUUAGUGAUCCCACUUCCCAUAACUAUAAAAGUAAUUAGAAUUUAGGUUGCACUUCAAAAGGAGGGACCUUUUCCUUUACUAAGUUUCAUUCACAAUCAGGGCCGGCCCCACCAUGGAGGCCACGUGAGGCAGCCACCUUGGGAGCAGGUCCCCGAGGGGUGCCGUCAGGCUUCUCCCGCCCCAGCGGGGACCAUGGGCUCGCUCGCUGGUGAACAGGAAGGCCUGUUCGGCGACGAGCGAGCUCCACAUGGCCACUGCUGCCUGGGCAAGGCCAGCCAGGCCAGGGCGCACUGG